Molecule: ribosomal RNA, 425 nt
Filed under: uncultured bacterium
Lineage: Bacteria
Description: bacterial SSU rRNA
Rfam family: Bacterial small subunit ribosomal RNA
Source: RNAcentral
UAGGGAAUUUUCCACAAUGGACGAAAGUCUGAUGGAGCAACGCCGCGUGCAGGAUGAAGGCCCUUGGGUCGUAAACUGCUUUUAUGUGCGAAGAAUUUGACGGUAACACAUGAAUAAGGAUCGGCUAACUCCGUGCCAGCAGCCGCGGUCAUACGGGGGAUCCAAGCGUUAUCCGGAAUUACUGGGCGUAAAGAGUUGCGUAGGUGGCAUAGUAAGUCAGUAGUGAAAUUGUGUGGCUCAACCAUACACCCAUUACCGAAACUGCUAAGCUUGAGAGCGAGAGAGGUUACUAGAAUUCCUAGUGUAGGAGUGAAAUCCGUAGAUAUUAGGAGGAAUACCGAUGGCGUAGGCAGGUAACUGGCUCGUUUCUGACACUAAGGCACGAAAGCGUGGGGAGCAAACGGGAUUAGAUACCCCCGUAGUCC